RNAcentral lists this unclassified non-coding RNA (246 nucleotides) under uncultured fungus. Its description in RNAcentral is "partial contains 5.8S ribosomal RNA, internal transcribed spacer 2, and large subunit ribosomal RNA". The record is from RNAcentral. Lineage: Eukaryota; Fungi.
AAGGAUCAUUAAAAGUAAAUAUGUAUUCGUCAUGAAUAUGCAUUUCAAACCCCCCCCUGCGUACAUUUCCUGUUGCUUCCUCGAGUCAGUGAUCCUCGAUCACCUCCAGACGAUGCGCGAUGCUAUCGGUAUGACGGAGAGCACUCGAGAAUGGUCCACAUCAAACCCUUGAAUUUUCAAUGUCAUCUGUCUGAACCAUGUUUAUAACAAAUAUCAAAACUUUCAACAACGGAUCUCUUGGUUCUC